Molecule: ribosomal RNA, 467 nt
Filed under: Kytococcus sedentarius
Lineage: Bacteria; Bacillati; Actinomycetota; Actinomycetes; Micrococcales; Kytococcaceae
Description: bacterial SSU rRNA
Rfam family: Bacterial small subunit ribosomal RNA
Source: RNAcentral
GAGUAAUACGUGAGUAACCUGCCCUCCACUCUGGGAUAAGCGCUGGAAACGGCGUCUAAUACUGGAUACGACCGACCCUCGCAUGGGGUGUUGGUGGAAAGAUUUAUCGGUGGUGGAUGGACUCGCGGCCUAUCAGCUUGUUGGUGGGGUAAUGGCCUACCAAGGCGACGACGGGUAGCCGGCCUGAGAGGGCGACCGGCCACACUGGGACUGAGACACGGCCCAGACUCCUACGGGAGGCAGCAGUGGGGAAUAUUGCACAAUGGGCGAAAGCCUGAUGCAGCGACGCCGCGUGAGGGAUGACGGCCUUCGGGUUGUAAACCUCUUUCAGCAGGGAAGAAGCUUUUGUGACGGUACCUGCAGAAGAAGCACCGGCUAACUACGUGCCAGCAGCCGCGGUAAUACGUAGGGUGCGAGCGUUGUCCGGAAUUAUUGGGCGUAAAGAGCUUGUAGGCGGUUUGUCGCGU